UAGGGAAUCUUCGGCAAUGGACGAAAGUCUGACCGAGCAACGCCGCGUGAGUGAAGAAGGUUUUCGGAUCGUAAAACUCUGUUGUUAGAGAAGAACAAGGACGUUAGUAACUGAACGUCCCCUGACGGUAUCUAACCAGAAAGCCACGGCUAACUACGUGCCAGCAGCCGCGGUAAUACGUAGGUGGCAAGCGUUGUCCGGAUUUAUUGGGCGUAAAGCGAGCGCAGGCGGUUUCUUAAGUCUGAUGUGAAAGCCCCCGGCUCAACCGGGGAGGGUCAUUGGAAACUGGGAGAGUUGAGUGCAGAAGAGGGGAGUGGAAUUCCAUGUGUAGCGGUGAAAUGCGUAGAUAUAUGGAGGAACACCAGUGGCGAAGGCGGCUCUCUGGUCUGUAACUGACGCUGAGGCUCGAAAGCGUGGGGAGCAAACAGG
Molecule: ribosomal RNA, 429 nt
Filed under: Chloroflexota bacterium
Lineage: Bacteria; Bacillati; Chloroflexota
Also listed under: 1 other name
Description: Chloroflexi bacterium partial 16S ribosomal RNA
Rfam family: Bacterial small subunit ribosomal RNA
Source: RNAcentral